UGCUUUUUAAACAAGGCAUUAUUUCGUAUGUGGUUGAAACUCUCUGGGAGCUGACAAAGGAAAUAAAGACCUGCCACUGUCACCAUCUAACCUGUGCCUUGUCGUCAGACCUGAGAUGGAGGCCAAAGCAGAGACCCCCUGUGAAAUUAGCUGGCUCUGAGGAAAUUUCUACCUGCAUAGGCACAUGGUACCUGUCUUCCUCCCAGGUUCCUCACACCACUCCUCCGAACUCACCAUUCACUAAGGAACUUCCAGCUCCAGGAUAACCUCAGGUUCCAUGUCUGCCAUUCCCUUCCACCCAGGCAAAAUUCAGAUCUUUUCAGAGCAAGAGAAAAAUAUUUCUGAGGAAAAUGAAUAAACCACAGAGAAAUACUGAUAUUCUCCAGGGGAUAAACUCCAGAAAGGAACUAACAUGCAGGCUACAGAAGAUAGCCUUCCAUGAACAUUUUGAUAAAAAGAAGAAAAGGCUAAGAAGCAGCAGUUUAUCAUGUAUGCCCACAAAACUCAAGCAAAGAAAAAAAAUAAACUAUUUGGCGAAUCAGAAGAAAGCAGGGUUCAGCUCAGCAAACCCAGAAGACGUCUACCUAUUCU
RNAcentral lists this long non-coding RNA (591 nucleotides) under Vulpes vulpes (red fox). Its description in RNAcentral is "lncRNA (ENSVVUG00000019533.1)". The record is from RNAcentral. Lineage: Eukaryota; Metazoa; Chordata; Mammalia; Carnivora; Canidae.